Molecule: small RNA, 165 nt
Filed under: unclassified sequences
Description: DUF2693 RNA
Rfam family: DUF2693 RNA
Source: Rfam by way of RNAcentral
GAUCAUUGACAUACUUGAUACGAACAAUGGCAACAAGCAUUACUCGGCAGGUGAAAUGCCUGCACGUGAUUAACCCAUUGUCGUUAGCCUGCGACCUAAUGUGCGCAGGGCGAAGCCGUGGCAGGCACGGAACACCCCCGAGGCUCGAAAGCCUCCUGACGACAC